Molecule: transfer RNA, 75 nt
Filed under: Listeria monocytogenes
Lineage: Bacteria; Bacillati; Bacillota; Bacilli; Caryophanales; Listeriaceae
Description: tRNA-Gly
Rfam family: tRNA
About the family: Transfer RNA (tRNA) molecules are approximately 80 nucleotides in length. Their secondary structure includes four short double-helical elements and three loops (D, anti-codon, and T loops). Further hydrogen bonds mediate the characteristic L-shaped molecular structure. tRNAs have two regions of fundamental functional importance: the anti-codon, which is responsible for specific mRNA codon recognition, and the 3' end, to which the tRNAs corresponding amino acid is attached (by aminoacyl-tRNA synthetases). tRNAs cope with the degeneracy of the genetic code in two manners: having more than one tRNA (with a specific anti-codon) for a particular amino acid; and 'wobble' base-pairing, i.e. permitting non-standard base-pairing at the 3rd anti-codon position.
Source: RNAcentral
GCGGAAGUAGUUCAGUGGUAGAACAUCACCUUGCCAAGGCGGGGGUCGCGGGUUCGAACCCCGUCUUCCGCUCCA